Molecule: ribosomal RNA, 449 nt
Filed under: uncultured bacterium
Lineage: Bacteria
Description: partial 16S ribosomal RNA
Rfam family: Bacterial small subunit ribosomal RNA
Source: RNAcentral
AGCGAACGCUGGCGGCAGGCCUAACACAUGCAAGUCGAACGGACCUUUCGGGGUUAGUGGCGGACGGGUGAGUAACACGUGGGAACGUGCCUUUAGGUUCGGAAUAGCUCCUGGAAACGGGUGGUAAUGCCGAAUGUGCCCUUAGGGGGAAAGAUUUAUCGCCUUUAGAGCGGCCCGCGCCUGAUUAGCUAGUUGGUGAGGUAAUGGCUGACCAAGGCUACGAUCUGUAGCUGGUCUGAGAGGAUGACCAGCCACAUUGGGACUGAGACACGGCCCAAACUCCUACGGGAGGCAGCAGUGGGGAAUCUUGCGCAAUGGGCGACAGCCUGACGCAGCCAUGCCGCGUGGAUGAUGAAGGUCUUAGGAUUGUAAAAUCCUUUCACCGGUGAAGAUAAUGACUGUAGCCGGAGAAGAAGCCCCGGCUAACUUCGUGCCAGCCGCCGCAGUAA